UACGGAGGGUCCAAGCGUUAUCCGGAUUUAUUGGGUUUAAAGGGUGCGUAGGCGGCACAGUAAGUUAGAGGUGAAAUCUCGCGGCUCAACCGCGAAACUGCCUCUGAUACUGCUGAGCUAGAGAUUAGAUGCUGUGGGCAGAAUGUGUAGUGUAGCGGUGAAAUGCUUAGAGAUUACACAGAACACCGAUUGCGAAGGCAGCUCACAAAUCUACUUCUGACGUUGAGGCACGAAAGCGUGGGUAGCAAACA
Molecule: ribosomal RNA, 251 nt
Filed under: uncultured prokaryote
Description: partial 16S ribosomal RNA
Rfam family: Bacterial small subunit ribosomal RNA
Source: RNAcentral